This 22-nucleotide microRNA is filed under the name Heliconius melpomene (postman butterfly). RNAcentral's name for it is "Hme-Mir-124_5p* (star (passenger))". Lineage: Eukaryota; Metazoa; Arthropoda; Insecta; Lepidoptera; Nymphalidae. The record is from RNAcentral.
GCGUUCACUGCGCAGCCAUAUG